GAUGAACGCUGGCGGCGUGCCUAAUACAUGCAAGUCGAGCGAACGGACGAGAAGCUUGCUUCUCUGAUGUUAGCGGCGGACGGGUGAGUAACACGUGGAUAACCUACCUAUAAGACUGGGAUAACUUCGGGAAACCGGAGCUAAUACCGGAUAAUAUUUUGAACCGCAUGGUUCAAAAGUGAAAGACGGUCUUGCUGUCACUUAUAGAUGGAUCCGCGCUGCAUUAGCUAGUUGGUAAGGUAACGGCUUACCAAGGCAACGAUGCAUAGCCGACCUGAGAGGGUGAUCGGCCACACUGGAACUGAGACAGGGUCCAGACUACUACGGGAGGGAGCAGUAGGGAACCUUCCGCAAUGGGCGAAAGCCUGACGGAGCAACGCCGCGUGAGUGAUGACGGUCUUCGGAUCGGAAAACUCUGUUAUUAGGGAAGAACAUAUGUGUAAGUAACUGUGCACAUCUUGACGGUACCUAAUCAGAAAGCCACGGCUAACUACGUG
RNAcentral lists this ribosomal RNA (497 nucleotides) under uncultured bacterium. Its description in RNAcentral is "partial 16S ribosomal RNA". It matches the Rfam family "Bacterial small subunit ribosomal RNA", at positions 28 to 507 of the family's 1533-position model. The record is from RNAcentral.